RNAcentral lists this non-coding RNA (148 nucleotides) under Pan troglodytes (chimpanzee). Lineage: Eukaryota; Metazoa; Chordata; Mammalia; Primates; Hominidae. The record is from Rfam by way of RNAcentral.
GCCGGGCAUGGUGGUGUGUGCCUGUAAUUCCAGCUACUGGGGAGGCUGAGGCAGAAGAAUCACUUGAACCCAGGAGGUGGAGCUUGCAGUGAGCUGAGAUCGCGCCACUGCACUCCAGCCUGGGUAACAGAGCGAGACUCCGCCUCAA